Molecule: small nucleolar RNA, 138 nt
Filed under: Ornithorhynchus anatinus (platypus)
Lineage: Eukaryota; Metazoa; Chordata; Mammalia; Monotremata; Ornithorhynchidae
Source: RNAcentral
CCCCUCUCAGGGUCACACCUGGAGAGUUUCCAGGACUCUACCAGUCUCAGCUUUGGGAGGGAGAGUCAAGCAGAGGCCUAUCCAUUCCAUUCCUAGCUUGGCCAGUGGCUAGCGAGUGGAAGGCAUUCUGCUACAAGU